This is a non-coding RNA of Suricata suricatta (meerkat), 667 nucleotides long. The record is from the annotation of a RefSeq genome assembly. NCBI's taxonomy places the organism in Eukaryota, Metazoa, Chordata, Mammalia, Carnivora, Herpestidae.
UGUCUGAGAGCUGGAGAUCUCAUUUGUAUGGAUGGGCCCUCCUUUUCUGAGAGCAUGAAAGGGGAAAGGACAGGUUAGGGAGGUCUGCUCAGCUGUGGUGUCACAGAAGGCAAGAUCAGUGAUGACUUCCCCCAUGGGAUGGUCACCUCUCCUCCUCACCCUCCUCAUUCACUGCACAGGGUCUUGGGCCCAGUCUGUGCUGACUCAGCCACCCUCAGUAUCUGGGGACCUAGGCCAGACAGUCACCAUCUCCUGCACCAGAAGUGCCAAUAACAUCGGUAUUGUUGGUGUGAACUGGUACCAACAGCUCCCAGGAAAGGCACCUAAUCGCCUCAUCUACAGGAAUAACAAUCGACACUCAGGGGUCUCUGAACGAUUUUCUGGCUCCAAGUCUGGCAGCUCAGGCUCUCUGACCAUCAGUGUGCUUCAGGAUGAGGAUGAGGCUGAUUAUUACUGCCAGUCCUUUGAUUCCAGACUCCGUGUUGACACAGUGCUCCAGGCCGGUGGGGAAGUGAGACAAAACCCUGCUGUCCCCCCAGCCAUGGGACUUCCCAUCUAGCCCUGACUUUUUGGCCAAAUCAGAUACUUCUUCUUUGUUUGAUAUAAACUAGGAUCUGAAACUCACUUCAAGGAAUUUGUCUAUAAAGUCUUUCCACAUUCUCUGAAA